AGAAGUGGUUAGUCUAACCUUCGGGAGGACGAUCACCACGGUGUGGUUCAUGACUGGGGUGAAGUCGUAACAAGGUAGCCGUAGGGGAACCUGCGGCUGGAUCACCUCCUUA
Molecule: ribosomal RNA, 112 nt
Filed under: Marinobacter sp. JB05H06
Lineage: Bacteria; Pseudomonadati; Pseudomonadota; Gammaproteobacteria; Pseudomonadales; Marinobacteraceae
Description: partial 16S ribosomal RNA
Rfam family: Bacterial small subunit ribosomal RNA
Source: RNAcentral